This 754-nucleotide long non-coding RNA is filed under the name Cricetulus griseus (Chinese hamster). Its description in RNAcentral is "lncRNA (ENSCGRG00015043191.1)". The record is from RNAcentral. Lineage: Eukaryota; Metazoa; Chordata; Mammalia; Rodentia; Cricetidae.
CAUUUAGCUCAGUCUGCAGCGUGUGUAAAUAACAGGAGAUGCUUCUUGUAUGUACAGGGAUCACAAACUGAUGUAAAAUUGACAGGUGACACCUGAGGCAGAGGUUACUGAUUGUGGUGCACCGGAUAUCACGUUGAGUAACUAGGCACCUGUCUGUCUUGUCUUUUACAUCCUCUGCAAGUCCUAAGAGCAAGCUCUUAGAAGGGUUUCUCUGUGUACCUGGCUAUCCUGGGACUUGAUUUGAAGGCCAGGGUGGAACUCAAAGAGAUUGGCCUGCCUCUACUUACUGAGUGCUGGAAUUAAAGGUCUGUGCCACCAUUGCCCAGCAGAAAUCUGGAUUUUUAUGUGAAGGUAGGGGUGGUUUUGUUUGUUUUGUUUUUGUUUUUCAAAAUAACAAGGAAACUUCUAGAAGCAAAAGAGAUCACACAUGCCAGGAGGUCGAGACCAUCGUGGUCUACAAGAGCUAGUUCCAGGACAGCCUCCAAAGCUGUCUGGGGGGGGGGGGGGGGCGGGGAGAUCACACAUAUAGAGGUCACAUACCACCUGCCAUAAUCUUGGAAUUUCUAGUAUAUAUCCUAAGGAAUGGUGACAGUUAUGAAAGCCAACAACAUUAUUAGGAAAGGUUGUGUCAGAAAGCUACAAAUAUAAAUGUGUGAUCACUUUUUUCUGAUGUUUUGGAAAGCAGUUGUUUUCCCUGAGCAAGGCUAUAUAGUACACGGAUACUGAAUUUACAGUAGCUUACCCUUACCCGGGG